AAAAUAAAAAUUAAUAAAAUAAAUUUAAUAAAAGUAAUUUUAAUAUUAAAAUAAAUAAUGGGGGUUAAAGUAUUUUAAUAGAAAAAAUUAGAAGUUUUAUAGUGAAUUAGUAUAGUAGUAGAAAUUUGAAAUAAAUGAAAAAUAAUUUUUAAAAAAGUAAAUUUAAAUUAUUGUAUCUUGUGUAUCAGAGUUUAUUAAAUAAUAUUUUUAUAUAAAAAUAUCUCGAAUUUAAAAGAGUUAAUUAAUUAAUAAAGUUAAUGUAAAAUAAUUAUUUUAAAUAAUUAAUUUGAAAUGAAAUGUUAAUCGUUUUUAAAUAUAUCUAGUUAUUUUAGAAAAAAAUUUAAUUUUAAAUUUAUUUAUUAAUUAUAUUAAUUAAAUUAAUAUAAUAAAAAAUAAAUUUUAUAAUUUAAGGGAUAAGCUUUAAAUUAAAUUGUUAUAAUAAAUAAUUUAAAUAAAUAAAAUUCUUAAAAUUUAUAUUGUUUAAAAAUUAAAGUUUAUUAUAAAAAAUUUUAUUAAAAAUAAAAUCUAAAUUAAUUUAAUUUUUUAUAAAAAUAUAAUUUUUAAUAUGGAAAAAUUAGUAAUAAUGAUAAAAUUAGUAUAAUAAAAUAAAAAAAAAUAAAUUUAUUUAAAAUUAAAUAAAAGGAAUUCGGCAAAAUUUAUAUUCACCUGUUUAACAAAACCAUGUCUUUUUGAAAAAUAAUUUAAAGUCUAAUCUGCCCACUGAUUUUAUAUUAAAGGGCUGCAGUAUAUUGACUGUACAAAGGUAGCAUAAUCAUUAGUCUUUUAAUUGAAGACUUGUAUGAAGGAUUUGAUGAAAUAUGAACUGUCUCUUAUUUAUAAAUAGAAUUUAAUUUUUUAGUUAAAAAGCUAAAAUAUGAUUAAAAGACGAGAAGACCCUAUAGAGUUUUAUAAUUAUUUAUUUAAAAUAUUUAUAUAAAAUUUUAAUAUUUUAUUUAAAUAAUUAUUAUAUUGGGGUGAUAAAAAAAUUAAUUAAACUUUUUUUAAAAUUUAACAAAAAUAAAUGAAUAAAUGAUCCAUAAAUAAUGAUUAAAAGAAAAAAUUACCUUAGGGAUAACAGCGUAGUAUUUUUUUUUAGUACAAAUAAAAAAAAAAGUUUGCGACCUCGAUGUUGGAUUAAGAUAAAAUUUAAAUGCAAAAGUUUAAAAUUUUGAUCUGUUCGAUCAUUAAAAUCUUACAUGAUCUGAGUUCAAACCGGUGUAAGCCAGGUUGGUUUCUAUCUUUAAUUAAAUAUGAUAUUUUA
RNAcentral lists this ribosomal RNA (1261 nucleotides) under Hypaurotis saphirinus. RNAcentral describes it as "Favonius saphirinus partial 16S ribosomal RNA". Lineage: Eukaryota; Metazoa; Arthropoda; Insecta; Lepidoptera; Lycaenidae. The record is from RNAcentral.